AUUUUUCUAGUAUUAAUUUAGUACAAGUGACUUCCAAUCACUUAGUCUUGGUUCAACCCCAAGGAAAAAU
Molecule: transfer RNA, 70 nt
Filed under: Prionobrama filigera (glass bloodfin tetra)
Lineage: Eukaryota; Metazoa; Chordata; Actinopteri; Characiformes; Characidae
Description: tRNA-Gly
Rfam family: tRNA
About the family: Transfer RNA (tRNA) molecules are approximately 80 nucleotides in length.
Source: RNAcentral